UUCAUGGUUUUUAUGUGGAGUGGAAUGGAAUGGUUUUUAUUCUUGUAAGGACAAGAAAAAUAUAUAUUUAUGGAGAAGGUGUAUCAAUGCCUAGAGCAUAAGCUUCAUUUUGAAGCCAUACUUUUUGGUUGAAGAUGGCCUCAAAAGGCUACGAGUUUCUCAAAGUUCUUUAAGACAAUAUUUGAAGAAUUUUAGAAGAACACAAAUCAAUUUUAUAACCUUCAGUCUUGCUGGCAGG
This 238-nucleotide unclassified non-coding RNA is filed under the name Hevea brasiliensis (rubber tree). Lineage: Eukaryota; Viridiplantae; Streptophyta; Magnoliopsida; Malpighiales; Euphorbiaceae. The record is from RNAcentral.